RNAcentral lists this ribosomal RNA (465 nucleotides) under uncultured bacterium. Its description in RNAcentral is "partial 16S ribosomal RNA". It matches the Rfam family "Bacterial small subunit ribosomal RNA", at positions 28 to 507 of the family's 1533-position model. The record is from RNAcentral.
GACGAACGCUGGCGGCGUGCUUAACACAUGCAAGUCGAACGGAAAGGCCCCUUUGGGGGUCCUCGAGUGGCGAACGGGUGAGUAACACGUGAGUAACCUGCCCUUGACUUCGGGAUAACUUCAGGAAACUGGGGCUAAUACCGGAUAGGAAUCCUUGCUGCAUGGUUGGGGUUGGAAAGCUUCGGCGGUUUUGGAUGGACUCGCGGCUUAUCAGCUUGUUGGUGGGGUAGUGGCUUACCAAGGCUUUGACGGGUAGCCGGCCUGGGAGGGCGACCGGCCACAUUGGGACUGAGAUACGGCCCAGACUCCCACGGGGGGCAGCAGUGGGGAAUAUUGCCCAAUGGGCGGAAGCCUGAUGCAGCAACGCCGCGGGCGGGAUGACGGGCUUCGGGUUGUAAACCGCUUUCAGCAGGGGCGAAGCUUGUGGUGACGGUACCUGCAGAAGAAGCACCGGCUAACUACGUG